UUUUAGCUUUCAUUACGAACUUCUAGAUAGCCACUUUUUAUCUGAAAGUUGUUUCUGACAUCAGGUUGGUGGGUUCUAAAGUGUAUGAUCUGGCAUACUAGACAAAAUGCCAUGUCUCAUUCAAAUAGAUUUAGGAUGACGUGCUAUUUUGUAUACAACAUUGAACUAAGGUCAAAUUCAUAGUUUAAUGUCUAACUUCCUCACACAACCACUAUUAUUCCACCUCUAAACUAGUUCUUUACUUCACUUUAUCUGCCCAUUCAUGAAUUGAAGGAGUCGACUUUUUUAUUUCUCUUUAAUCGUCUUUCCGAAAGUGUAUCAGAUUAGAAAUCCUUCAUAUUUUUCCUCAAUUUGUGUCUUAUAUCAGUAGUUGCAUUUUUUAAGAUAAUGCUAUCAAGUCUUCUAGUUGACGGUGGCACAAGUGAUUGAUGAUUAGGUUAAAAUUUCGUUUUUUGUGUCCAACCUUUCGGAAACUUUUAAUUCAGACCUACCUUCUUAAAAUAAUUAUAAUUUUUUUUUUUUUACAGAAGACACGCAGGUGGCUUGUGUGAACCAGCAUGUCUUUUACCAUGAUAUAAGCAACCCAUUUCUCAUUUAAAAAUGCAGCCAAAAUUCUUUAAGGCAUACAAUAAACUUAAAUUGGACUAGUAUUGGGCCUUCAUUCUCCUCUAGGAUAAGCAUCACGCUGAUUUUCAUAAAACUAUACUGUAAUGCUAUAUGCUAAUGAUAAUUACCCUCACCUUGUCGUUCAUUCGCUGAAGCUAAUAUUAGAAACUGUGUAGUGUGUAGUAUCAAGCAGGGUUUUUGUGAUUGCAAAACCUUAGUUACGGAAUUCUCUCCACUUCCAUUUCUCAAGUCUAAGGUACUGAGGCUUGAUAUUUUACGUUACGAAACUUGACUCCUGAAAAAUUCAAAUACAGAUGAGGGCAUAACAGGGGGAGUUAACAAUAUUAGCAUUUAUCCAUCUGAAUCACAAAAGAGAAACAUAAUUCAAGUCUCCAACACAAAUAAAUCCCUCUUCUUCUAUUUCAAUCUCUCCAAGAGGUAUAUGCAGCAAUACAAUAAAGUGGAACUCCAUGGUCUUGGGAUGGCUUUUUCCACAGUGUUUGUAUUGCUGAAAUUCUGAAAGAACAAUGGAAUUGGCAUUGAAAAGAAAAUCAGGACAUUGACUGUAGACACAAGGGAUGAACCAGGCAUGCAAUUAGUCUCCAAGAGAAGUUUGAGAUAUUACUGGAGAAGUGAGAGAACUCGAUGAAUUGAUGGCUGCUGAAGCAAAGGAAUGAGAAUAUGGAGGUGACGAACACAAUGGACCUACAUACUUCCAUAGUCUGGUCCAAGUCCAGUCAUCUUUUAUCUGUCUGGGUAAACUACAACUAGUUAAGUGUAUAACUUACUGGACUUCCUUUUUUUUUCAUUUUCCCUUUUUUUUUUUUUUUUUUUUUUUUUUUUUUUAAGAUGUGGUGGGGGUUUAUAUUAUGUCUGUGUAGUAGGAUUGAAACUCCAGGUGAUGAUAUUUCUUAGAUCAGUUCAAUGAGGAGCAAUCCUUCCGAACCAGAAAGUAGGAAAAAAAAGAAGUCUUACAUGCUGAAGUUAUAUGUUCCACAAGUGGAUAAUGUGUACUGACCUUUUCCGAAAUUAGGAUGUUUCCUGUGGGAAUGGCUUUGGGUUUGCAAAAGAAAAAUAUAGCUAUGAAAAAUAAGAACAGCUCUUAAAUUAACUUUUGUCACUCCCUUCUCUUCCUAAAUGUGCCAGUUAAAUUAUUUUUCACCAAAAAAAUCUUGAUAAGAUGUUGCCUUAACAAAAACACAUCAUUUGCAGAAUCUCUGCAGGAUUUUAGUCAGUAUCAAUAACUUCCUGCAGAUCGUAAUUGAAGUUCAAGUUGAGCACACUUUAUGACAUGGCUGAAUUCAACAGGCUAUUUUUGUUCCCCUUUUUCUUUUUGGUUGCUACUGAUUCCACAAAUAGUGCACAGCAGAGAUUGUUUCUUCUCUUCUUUUGCUCUCGUGCAAAUUAGUAUCUGCUUGUUGUCUUUGCAAAAGUUCCAAAUUUCCUGAAUGCCCAUCAAGAUAGAGUUUUUCGCUUGCAAUUUUAUUUACUUGAUAAUCAAGUUGCACGCAUUUGGAGGAGGAAUCACUAUGAAGCUCUACUGCAUUCUUUCAAUAUUGUAUUCGUUACUCAUAGUAAAAAGUUUGUUCUGAAUUUUGACACUUAAUUUUUAAGCAGGAUGCAUGCUUAAGUGUAUUUGGGUCAUAGUCUCCUCGACCAAUGAUAGGCACGAAAGCUGGCUUCAAAGGAUCUUUCUUGACAUAAUGAGGAUAAAUUAUUGCUUGAAAUUUAGUAAAAGUGGUUUUCUCAACCAAAAACUUGUACCUGCUUGGCCCCUGCACUCUAGAAGGUCGUUGCUGUUACAGUUAUUAGAGCUGAUAUUGAGGUGUCAUAUUUGAAUGUUGCAAGAACCGGGUUCAUCUGCUUGGAAGAGAAAAAGAAGGGUGGGGGGGGGGGGGGUUCAAUUUGAAAUUGAGGUUCUCUUAGUAGACUAAAUUAUAAUUUGUCGACAUGGCAACCAUUGUAAGUUUCCUUUUGUGUGCGCGCAUGUGUGCGUUUGCGCUCUUUUAUUGAACUUAGAACUAGAUAUUAUUUAUAGGCAUGAUUUUAUUUAAAUUUAAUGUGUAAUGCAUCAUUUGUAAGUUGAUCAAUUUGUGCACAAAUUCUUGUGGGGAAUUAGAACUUUGUACGAAGAGGAACACUGGGGAGAAGAUGGAAGGCUUGAAGUAACUUGGUUUUAUGAAUCAAGAAUCGUGAAAGAAUUUACAACUUACUUUAACAUAAAUUCAGUUAAAGAUUUUUACAUGAAACGAGAAUUUUCAUGAUCUUUUUGUGGUUGAAUCACAUUGCUUUCCAAACUUCAAAAUCUAUAUUAUCUUGCAAUCUAAUGGUUCCAA
Molecule: long non-coding RNA, 2942 nt
Filed under: Olea europaea subsp. europaea
Lineage: Eukaryota; Viridiplantae; Streptophyta; Magnoliopsida; Lamiales; Oleaceae
Source: RNAcentral